GCUUGUCUCAAAGAUUAAGCCAUGCAUGUCUUAGUGUAAAUAACUCUUAUGAAACUGCGAAUGGCUCAUUAAAUCAGUUAUCGUUUAUUUGAUGGUCCCUUACUACAUGGAUAACCGUAGUAAUUCUAGAGCUAAUACAUGCACAAAGGCCCGACUUACGAAGGGAUGUAUUUAUUAGAUACAAACCAACAUCGUGGUGAUUCAUAAUAACUUUGCGAAUCGUAUGCCUCACGGCGACGAUGAAUCAUUCAAAUUUCUGCCCUAUCAGCUUUGGAUGGUAGGGUAUUGGCCUACCAUGGCUUUAACGGGUAACGGAGAAUUAGGGUUCGAUUCCGGAGAGGGAGCCUGAGAAAUGGCUACCACAUCCAAGGAAGGCAGCAG
RNAcentral lists this ribosomal RNA (381 nucleotides) under uncultured Katablepharidophyta. Its description in RNAcentral is "partial small subunit ribosomal RNA". It matches the Rfam family "Eukaryotic small subunit ribosomal RNA", at positions 30 to 431 of the family's 1831-position model. The record is from RNAcentral. Lineage: Eukaryota; Cryptophyceae; Kathablepharidacea.